GUGGGGAAUAUUGGGCAAUGGGGGCAACCCUGACCCAGCAACGCCGCGUGAAGGAAGAAGGCCUUCGGGUUGUAAACUUCUUUUACCAGGGAAAAAGAAAAUGAUGGUACCUGGAGAAAAAGCUACGGCUAACUACGUGCCAGCAGCCGCGGUAAUACGUAGGUGGCAAGCGUUAUCCGGAUUUACUGGGUGUAAAGGGCGCGUAGGCGGGGCAGCAAGUCAGAUGUGAAAAUUAUGGGCUCAACCCAUAACCUGCAUUUGAAACUGUUGUUCUUGAGUGAUGGAGAGGCAGGCGGAAUUCCGUGUGUAGCGGUGAAAUGCGUAGAUAUACGGAGGAACACCAGUGGCGAAGGCGGCCUGCUGGACAUUAACUGACGCUGAUGCGCGAAAGCGUGGGGAGCAAACAGGAUUAGAAACCCGGGUAGUCC
Molecule: ribosomal RNA, 428 nt
Filed under: uncultured bacterium
Lineage: Bacteria
Description: partial 16S ribosomal RNA
Rfam family: Bacterial small subunit ribosomal RNA
Source: RNAcentral